RNAcentral lists this small RNA (2574 nucleotides) under Pongo abelii (Sumatran orangutan). Its description in RNAcentral is "processed transcript". Lineage: Eukaryota; Metazoa; Chordata; Mammalia; Primates; Hominidae. The record is from RNAcentral.
CAGAGUUCAGGCGACAGGCGAGACGGCAGGGCUUAAAGUUCCGGGAAUCAAAGAUCAACUCCCACUGAGGACAAAUGGACCUGUAAUUCCGGGUGUGACGAGAGAACGAGAUUUACCUUCCUGAAUUAAAAAACAGGUCAUUAAGCUUGGGCCCUGACUCUUCUUUGUGAGAAGGUGCAGAGAUGGAAACCUUACAAUCCAAGACUAAAACGAGGGUCCUUCCCUCAUGGCUGACAGCCCAGGUGGCUACAAAGAAUGUGGCACCAAUGAAGGCCCCCAAGAGGAUGAGAAUGGCAGCAGUGCCAGUGGCAGCAGCAAGGUGCGACAACCCUGGUCAGAAGACUGUUGCGAAUUGAGCAACUAAGAGGUCUUUCUUGGCUCUAUGAGAACCUGGUGGGAUUCCUGAAGAUAAAGUCCAUGAAAAUGAAGCUCCAUACAAGACUAUGGCCACCAGGAGUUUCUCACUUUCAAGCUAGUGCGCACUCAGCCUCUGGCAAUUUGUUAAAAUCACUGUUUAAGUGUUCCUACCAGUUUGUGAUUCUAGCAGCUUCUGCUUCAGACAAGCAGAUCUCAGCAGUGACUCUCUGGAUUUGUCUGUCUCUUCAGAUUUCAGGGUGGUGGUUUACUUGUCAGCCUCAGUUCUCUGAUGGAUCCAAUAAGUUGCUGAUUUUUAGUUUGUUCAGCUUUUUUUUGUUGUAAGGACAGGAAUGUUGACUUUCAAGCAUUAUUCAUGUUGGAGCUAAAACGAGAAGACCCCUUACUAUCUGUUUAAAUAGUAAGUCUAUAUUUUCUUCUAAGAGUAGUUUUAACUCCUACAUUUGUUUCUAUGAUCCAUUUUCUAUUAUUUUUAGUGUAUGGUAUAAGGAACACGGCCAACUUCAUUCUUUUGCAUGUGGAUAUCCAGUUGUCCCAGUACCAUUUGCUGAAAAGACUAUUUUUUUCCCCAUCCAAUUGUCCUGGCAUCUUUGUUGAAAAAUCAAUUGAAAUAUAUAUAAAGGUUUAUUUACAUAUUUUCAAUCCUAUUUCAUUUAUCUAUAUGUUUACCCUUAGGCCAGUACCACAUAGUCUCGAUUACUAUAGCUUAGUUGUCAGUUUUGAAAUCAGGAAUCCUCAAACAUUGUUCUUUAUCAAAAUUGCUUUGGUUAUUCUGGGUCCCUUGUGUUUCCAUAUAAAUUUCAGAUUCGGUUUGUUAGUUUCUGCACAAAAGGUAGCUGAUAUUUUGAUAGGGAUUGCACUGAAUCUGUCAAUUUGAGGAGUAUUGCCAUCUAGCAAUAUUAAAUCUUCUGAUCCAUGACCAGAGUUAUUUUGCCAUUUAUUUAGAGCUUCUUUAAUACAGUUCAACUGUGUUUUUUGUAGUUUUCAGUUUAUAAGUCUUGUACUUCUUUUGUAAAAUUUAUUCCUAAGUAUUUUGUUCUUUCUGAUGCUAAUGUAAAUGGAAUUGUUUUCUUAAUUUCAUUUUUUAAAUGUUCAUUGCUAGUGUAUAGAGGUACAAUUGAUUUUUAUAACAGGUUUUUGAGAUGUAAUUCACAUACCAUACAGUUCAUUCACUACAACUGAUUUUUGCCUAUUGAUCUUUUAUCCUGCGACCGUGUUGAACUCAUUUAUUAGUGCUAAUAGUGUGGCGUGUGUAUGUGUGUGUUCCUUCGGAUUUUCUAUAUACAAGAACAUAUAUCCUACAAAUAGAAAUGGCUUCGCUUUUUUCUUUCUAAUUUGGAUGCGUUUUAUUUUUUUUCUUGCCUUAUUGCCCGGCCUAAGCCUUUAUUAUAAUGUUGAAUAGAAGUGUUGAGAGUGAAUAUCCCUGUCUUGUUCCAGGUCUCAGGGAGAAAAGCAUUUAGUCUUGCACUACCAACUAUGACAUUAGCUGCAGGAUUUUUGAAGAUGGCUUUUUUUUUUUUUUUUUGGUAGAGGAAGAUUCUAUCUUUCCUAAUUUGUUGAGUGUCUCUUUUUUAAUCAUGAAAGAAUGUUGGAUUUUGCCAGAUACUUUUUCUGCAUCUAUUGAGAUGACCAUGUGCCCUUUUCUUUAUAUUCUAUUAACAUGGUAUAUUAUAUUGUUUAAUUUUCAUAAUUUCAUAUGCUAAACUAACCUUGAAUUUCUGGGAUAAAUCCUAUUUGGUCAUUGUGUAUAAUCCCUUUUGGUUUGCUAGUAUUUUGUCUUACUUUUUCAUUCUAAUUCUUAAUAGAUAUAGAAGUUGGUUAAAAAAAAAGUUCCAUUUAUUUGGCCCCUGAAAUCUUAACAAUUACCUUUUCUGAGAAACCUUUUCUGAUUUGCUCCUACCCACAAACAACUCCGAUGUAACCCCAUAACACAAUAAGUAGCAUUUGUUUCAUAUUACUAUGUCUAUUUACUUGUCACCCACUCUGCUAUAUUUUAUUUCCCAUUGUACCCAAGUAUCUAGCACAACCACUUACUAUUACAAGUUGGGACUUCUGGGAAGCAGAGAAACAUCAGAUUUUUAAAAGAACAUGAACAACAAUGGAAAGAUUAUGUAACAAAGGUUGAAUAUAAGAGAGUGCAUAAACCAUAGAAUAGUUUCAGGAUGAUUAAACCUCAAAUAAACUAAGAUUUGAAAAAAA